This 497-nucleotide ribosomal RNA is filed under the name uncultured bacterium. RNAcentral describes it as "partial 16S ribosomal RNA". It matches the Rfam family "Bacterial small subunit ribosomal RNA", at positions 28 to 507 of the family's 1533-position model. The record is from RNAcentral.
GAUGAACGCUGGCGGCGUGCCUAAUACAUGCAAGUCGAGCGAACAGAUAAGGAGCUUGCUCCUUUGACGUUAGCGGCGGACGGGUGAGUAACACGUGGGUAACCUACCUAUAAGACUGGAAUAACUCCGGGAAACCGGGGCUAAUGCCGGAUAACAUUUAGAACCGCAUGGUUCUAAAGUGAAAGAUGGUUUUGCUAUCACUUAUAGAUGGACCCGCGCCGUAUUAGCUAGUUGGUAAGGUAACGGCUUACCAAGGCAACGAUACGUAGCCGACCUGAGAGGGUGAUCGGCCACACUGGAACUGAGACACGGUCCAGACUCCUACGGGAGGCAGCAGUAGGGAAUCUUCCGCAAUGGGCGAAAGCCUGACGGAGCAACGCCGCGUGAGUGAUGAAGGUCUUCGGAUCGUAAACCUCUGUUAUUCGGGAAGAACAAAUGUGUAAGUAACUGUGCACGUCUUGACGGUACCUAAUCAGAAAGCCACGGCUAACUACGUG